This is a long non-coding RNA of Rhopalosiphum padi (bird cherry-oat aphid), 1702 nucleotides long. RefSeq lists it as uncharacterized. The record is from RefSeq and is a predicted model, not a curated record. The transcript is spliced from 3 exons. NCBI's taxonomy places the organism in Eukaryota, Metazoa, Arthropoda, Insecta, Hemiptera, Aphididae.
GUGUGCCGCACGCCGCGUGCUGUCGCAGCGGAGUAUCAAAUUAUUUUAAGAGUUUCAACUUUUUAUGUCCUUUAUCUUUAUGAUGUUUUUUCUCUUACAUUUAUUUAAAUAAUCAAUUUGAUUUGGUAAUAGUUUUUUUUAUUUUCACUUGGAUCCAAAUUUUGUUCAACAUUUAAUUUUUAAUCCUCUUUCAUCUACUUUUAUUACAGCUGAUUUUUGGUGUUCUUCAGAAAUUUUACCAGUGGAGAAUAUUGGAAUUGUUCAUAGUAAUAUAGUCAAAAAAGAGGAUUUUUCAGUUUUGAAGACAUCAAUUAUGCUGCUUUAUUCGAUGAAGACAGAUUUGCUGAAUUCUAUAGAUUUUUUAAUGAGGGUUUGAAAUCAUCAAAGCUGGUUUCCCAAUUAUGAAAAAAAUUUACUUACGUUAAAAUACAGAUCUACCUUCCAAUGCAUUAGAUGAACGACUAUUCAAUUUUGGAAAGGAUGUAUUAAGAAACAAAAUAUCAUGAAUGACUGAUGAUAAUUUUGAACAUAAAUUGUUAUUAAAGUAUAAUAAUAAUAGUAUAAUACAAUGAUUUGAUAGGUAUUAAGAUUAGUAGUUAAUUAAUAAUUAUGUAAAUAUUUUUUUGAUCUCAUACAAGGACUUGAUUGAGUACCAAAAGACUGGUUAUAUUUUACUUUUUUGUUUUAUUAAUUUAAAGAAAUAUUGUUUAGUUUAUUUGUUAUAUCUAUACAUAAUUAAAAAAUGUUUAGUAAAUUACAAUUCUAUUUAAUUUCCAAUCUCAUUACAGUAUCAAACCCCUUUCAGUGACCGAAUGUAAAAUCCGUACUAACUACCAAUUUUCAAUAAAACGUUUAUUUGUUUAGUUUUGUUACAAAAAUACAUGAGAUACAUUAAAUAAACUUGUCUACCGAAUAUACAAGAAAAUAAUGGUAGGUAUUAACAAAUAAUGUCCAAGUACUCAAGUAACAUCUAAAUAAAUCAAGAAAAUUAAAAAAAAAAAAAAAAUGUAGUGAAAAAGUAGUACGCUUCAUAAGUGUUAGAAAUAGCGCACUACAUUUAAAGAGUAGCUUUAGCUAUAACGAGCUAUUUUUUUUUGAGGGGAGUAGCAAUAGCGUUAGCAUGCUACAAAAAAACAGUAGCGUCCCGACCACUGUGUAUACUUAAUAUUUUAAUAGAACAUUUUUAACUAGAUAUUACCAACAUUAGAUGGUGGAAUUUUAUUAAUUUUAACAUUCCUAAAUUAAUUAGUUUUGGGCUAUGUAAAUAUUUAAUGACUUAAAUGGGAUCUAAUGUGAUUUUUAUAAGCAGAAUAAAAUCAAAUAAAAUAUAUUACUUGUAAUUUGUCAGCAAAAAAUGUCUUGGUAUUCUAUACUCUAUUCGCUGUAAGUUAACCCACUUGCACGCAUUCAUACUGAGCCACCGGGUUUGUUAAGAUAAUCAAAUCGCUAUGUAAACACCAGGUACGGUGAUUAUCACCACUAGCACUCCGAAGACUUGGCAGCCUGCGUGGCUGCAACCAGUUUUUGUUGAGCAAGUGGGUCAACUUACGGCGAAUAGAGUAUAGAUAUAUUCACAUUUUACCUGCAAAAUACUUAGAUAUUAGCAUUGACUAUAAAUACUAUAAUAAUUUAUGAUCAUUGAUAUUAGGUACUGAAGUUAUAUAAAUAUGAUAUAAUUUAUUUUUAUUUUACACAUAUUUAC